AGUCCAGUGAAGUUAAUCAUCAGGAGAGAGGCUUGUUACUGACGCCUGAUAGUCCAGGGAAGUUGGGGCCCAGUGCAGAGAGGAAUAAAAGAUGGGAUGAAAAUGGGGCAUACGAGCAGUGGUGAAUAUGGAUAUGCGUUGCAUCUGUUUCUACAGUGCAGUGAGUGGGAGGUAUAUCCUAGUACAUAGGCCACAACCUGAGCAGUGCAGUGAGUGGGAGGUAUAUCCUAGUACAUAGGCCACAACCUGAGCAGUGCAGUGAGUGGGAGGUAUAUCCUAGUACAUAGGCCACAACCUGAGCAGUGCAGUGAGUGGGAGGUAUAUCCUAGUACAUAGGCCACAACCUGAGCAGUGCAGUGAGUGGGAGGUAUAUCCUAGUACAUAGGCCACAACCUGAGCAGUGCAGUGAGUGGGAGGUAUAUCCUAGUACAUAGGCCACAACCUGAGCAGUGCAGUGAGUGGGAGGUAUAUCCUAGUACAUAGGCCACAACCUGAGCAGUGCAGUGAGUGGGAGGUAUAUCCUAGUACAUAGGCCACAACCUGAGCAGUGCAGUGAGUGGGAGGUAUAUCCUAGUACAUAGGCCACAACCUGAGCAGUGCAGUGAGUGGGAGGUAUAUCCUAGUACAUAGGCCACAACCUGAGCAGUGCAGUGAGUGGGAGGU
Oncorhynchus keta (chum salmon) is the source of this 663-nucleotide long non-coding RNA. RefSeq lists it as uncharacterized. Lineage: Eukaryota; Metazoa; Chordata; Actinopteri; Salmoniformes; Salmonidae. The transcript is spliced from 3 exons. The record is from RefSeq and is a predicted model, not a curated record.